RNAcentral lists this ribosomal RNA (507 nucleotides) under uncultured bacterium. RNAcentral's name for it is "partial 16S ribosomal RNA". It matches the Rfam family "Bacterial small subunit ribosomal RNA", at positions 28 to 507 of the family's 1533-position model. The record is from RNAcentral.
GACGAACGCUGGCGGCGUGCCUAAUACAUGCAAGUCGAACGCAUUUUCUUUCACCGUAGCUUGCUACACCGAAAGAAAAUGAGUGGCGAACGGGUGAGUAACACGUGGGUAACCUGCCCAUCAGCGGGGGAUAACACUUGGAAACAGGUGCUAAUACCGCAUAAUUUCAUUUACCGCAUGGUAGAUGGAUGAAAGGCGCUUUUGCGUCACUGAUGGAUGGACCCGCGGUGCAUUAGCUAGUUGGUGGGGUAACGGCCUACCAAGGCUGCGAUGCAUAGCCGACCUGAGAGGGUGAUCGGCCACACUGGGACUGAGACACGGCCCAGACUCCUACGGGAGGCAGCAGUAGGGAAUCUUCGGCAAUGGACACAAGUCUGACCGAGCAACGCCGCGUGAGUGAAGAAGGUUUUCGGAUCGUAAAACUCUGUUGUUAGAGAAGAACAAGGAUGAGAGUGGAAAGUUCAUCCCUUGACGGUAUCUAACCAGAAAGCCACGGCUAACUACGUG